GCAAAUGGAGGCCGGGCGCGGUGGCUUAUGCCUGUAAUCCCAGCACUUUGGGAGGCCAAGGUGGGCAGAUCAUGAGAUCAAGAGAUCAAGACCAUCCUGG
Sapajus apella (tufted capuchin) is the source of this 100-nucleotide long non-coding RNA. RefSeq lists it as uncharacterized. The record is from RefSeq and is a predicted model, not a curated record. Lineage: Eukaryota; Metazoa; Chordata; Mammalia; Primates; Cebidae. The transcript has 3 exons.